Molecule: unclassified non-coding RNA, 445 nt
Filed under: Hevea brasiliensis (rubber tree)
Lineage: Eukaryota; Viridiplantae; Streptophyta; Magnoliopsida; Malpighiales; Euphorbiaceae
Source: RNAcentral
CUCAUUUUCCAAGCAUAUAUUGGUUCUGCACAUUGUAUCAUCAACCACUCAAAUCACAGUAGCAUCUGAUUAAUCCAGCCAUAAGGGAAAAAUAAAAGAAAGAAAGAAGGGGGCUUUUCUUUUAAUAUCAAUCAUUAGUGUGGACAGCAGUGUAAUGUUCAUAAAUAGAAAGAUCCCUUUGGUAUCGUUGCAUGUCAAAGAGAAAAAUGAGGAUAACUUCUGAAAGAAUUGAAUAUUGUGUUGAGCACUUAGGGCUUGUUCCUGAGCCCUCUGAAAGCCAGGGUCUUCCUUGAUAUCAUUUAAAGAAAACAAUACGGAGUAGCAACAUGAUUCAAGGAGCCCUAUCAAAUGGCUUUGUAUCAUUGUAGCAGACAUCCCAGACAGCUUCCAUGGCAUCCUUUGCAGCUGCUUCUGAGCAGUAUGGGUUGGCAAUCACUGAUUUCAU